This 71-nucleotide transfer RNA is filed under the name Camelus ferus (Wild Bactrian camel). It matches the Rfam family "tRNA". From Rfam's summary of the family: Transfer RNA (tRNA) molecules are approximately 80 nucleotides in length. Their secondary structure includes four short double-helical elements and three loops (D, anti-codon, and T loops). The record is from Rfam by way of RNAcentral. Lineage: Eukaryota; Metazoa; Chordata; Mammalia; Artiodactyla; Camelidae.
GAGGGUAUAGCUCAAGUGAUAGAGCACAUGCUUAGCAUACAUGAGGUCCUGGGUUCAAUCCGGUACCUCCU